Molecule: transfer RNA, 75 nt
Filed under: Holophagales bacterium
Lineage: Bacteria; Pseudomonadati; Acidobacteriota; Holophagae; Holophagales
Description: tRNA-Glu
Rfam family: tRNA
About the family: Transfer RNA (tRNA) molecules are approximately 80 nucleotides in length.
Source: RNAcentral
GGCCCCAUCGUCUAGCGGUCAGGACACCGCCCUCUCACGGCGGCGACACGGGUUCGAGUCCCGUUGGGGCUGCCA